Delphinapterus leucas (beluga whale) is the source of this 224-nucleotide non-coding RNA. The record is from RefSeq and is a predicted model, not a curated record. Lineage: Eukaryota; Metazoa; Chordata; Mammalia; Artiodactyla; Monodontidae.
GCCUGCUAUCACAGAGCUGAUACUCGAGAAAUUGAUGGUGAAUUCAGAAUACCACUAGAAGGAAGACAAGAAUGAACAGUAUUUAAGGAUGGCUGUGUGCGCAGUACUUCCAUACAUCAUCUUGUUAAAUCUUCUUAACAACCUUAACAACAAAUGAGGAGACCAAACUGUUUCCCAAAGACAACCAGAUGCCACCACCAAUUCUCAGGAUGAAGCUGAUGCAC